RNAcentral lists this ribosomal RNA (253 nucleotides) under uncultured bacterium. RNAcentral's name for it is "partial 16S ribosomal RNA". It matches the Rfam family "Bacterial small subunit ribosomal RNA", at positions 524 to 776 of the family's 1533-position model. The record is from RNAcentral.
UACGGAGGGGGCUAGCGUUGUUCGGAAUUACUGGGCGUAAAGGGUGCGUAGGCGGGUCUUUAAGUCAGGGGUGAAAUCCUGGAGCUCAACUCCAGAACUGCCUUUGAUACUGAGGAUCUUGAGUUCGGGAGGGGUGAGUGGAACUGCGAGUGUAGAGGUGAAAUUCGUAGAUAUUCGCAAGAACACCAGUGGCGAAGGCGGCUCACUGGCCCGAUACUGACGCUGAGGCACGAAAGCGUGGGGAGCAAACAGG